Molecule: ribosomal RNA, 209 nt
Filed under: Escherichia coli
Lineage: Bacteria; Pseudomonadati; Pseudomonadota; Gammaproteobacteria; Enterobacterales; Enterobacteriaceae
Description: partial 16S ribosomal RNA
Rfam family: Bacterial small subunit ribosomal RNA (bases 1-155)
Source: RNAcentral
CCUUGUACACACCGCCCGUCACACCAUGGGAGUGGGUUGCAAAAGAAGUAGGUAGCUUAACCUUCGGGAGGGCGCUUACCACUUUGUGAUUCAUGACUGGGGUGAAGUCGUAACAAGGUAACCGUAGGGGAACCUGCGGUUGGAUCACCUCCUUACCUUAAAGAAGCGUACUUUGAAGUGCUCACACAGAUUGUCUGAUGAAAAUGAGC